Molecule: long non-coding RNA, 2138 nt
Organism: Xenia sp. Carnegie-2017
Lineage: Eukaryota; Metazoa; Cnidaria; Anthozoa; Malacalcyonacea; Xeniidae
Exons: 3
Source: RefSeq, a predicted model, not a curated record
CACAGUGACACACUCUUAAUGUAAAAUGUGCAUUACAGAAAUAGCCUUUUUUGAUUUUUUUCAAACAUCCAGUCAAUUAUUUGACGUCGUCAUGAUAUUUAAAAUAUCUACGUACGACAGUGUUUAUGUAUGUCGAGGAUAGUCACCGUCUGAACGACAUAGUCGACAUUAAAGAAUCAAAUGCACGCCUGAAUUGAAUUGAAACCGAUUAAAGCGUCUGUUGAUUAACAGCUGGGCAGCAGUCAUGAUUAUAAUAAAAAAAUUUCACUUGGCAGAGAGUUUGAAAAUUCUUGUAUCUACCAGCAAGCAAAGUUCAGAAAGGUGUUAUGAAGAUAAAGUAUAUACCUACGUAUCCAAUACCAGAUCUACAUAAACUCAGUGAACAAAGAGGGUGAGUCUAUGUUUAAAUCCACCUUCAUCGACAUUUAUGACAAAAUUUUGCACUUUGUGUAAAAGAUAAACUCAUAGACAACAGUAUUCAGAAUGUGACAAAUCAAACAAUGCUUCACAUUGGUGAAGUUUAGCAAAAUGCUUAAAAUAAAAAGCCCAAAGUCCUCAGAAGGAUAAGAAAAUGCUGUAACCCAGACAAAUAACAUCAAACAUUACCUCAUAUUAAAGAUAAACAUAACAUGAUGUAGUCAUUGUUUUAAGCAUUAUUGAUGCUUAUUUGAUUUUUCCAAAUGAUUAUAUAAACAAAGAUAUUCUGUGGUACUGAUGUCAUAAAGGUGAAGGGCAAAGUUGUAUGAUUAAAUUGCUCCAUGGGAAAUUUAGGGGAUCAGAGAUUUCCCAUUACGUGUGGUUUGUCCAGAUACAAUUCAUGGUAUACACAAUUCACUGGCAUUAUAAGUUUUGCCUGAAAUAUUUUCAUGCUUAGAUUUCAGUGAAUUACUUUAAUUAAUUUUCAAUUCAGUCAAUGAACAAUUUCGAAGUUGUAAACAAGGCGAAUGUGGAUUGUAGGUGGCAAUUACAAAAGGUGUUUGGCAAUUAGCGGGUAAAGAUAGGAAUCUUCAAAACUUCUUCAAGUGAAUAAUUUCUUUUCAUAACUUGUCCCCAGCUGUUAAUCAAUGGACUGACUAACAACUUUAUCGUUAUACAAAAGAAUAACACCUGCUAAUUUAAUUAUAACUCUUUUGGCCAUUUUAAAUCAUGCUAAAAAUCUCAGAAUGUUGGCAUCUAGCUCAGCGCCAUACACGAUUCACUAGACUUACAUCUACACAAAUAUAUUUACCUCAUUAAUGGAUGGUUUUCGUUCAACGUUGAACGAAUGGUCUAGAGCUGAGAUAAUGGCGCCAUUAAAAUUCCACUUUAACUAAUAAUCACCAAAUCACUUUGUAACAAAGUACAAAUACUUACCUGAAGUAAUGUCCUUGGUGCAGUCUGUGAAAUUACUGGGGAUUCGCUAAUUGUCUGAAUUUUGUCAGCUGAACAACUCUUCUUUAACUUUCUUAAGUAUGGCAAUAUGGCAAGCCAAAUCGGACAAGUUUAUCGAGUUUUACACGCAAUGGUUGAGUUUUAUAUACUAUAGUUCAAAAAAAUAUAUGAUACUCGAGAAUAACACUAUUUGGUAGUCGACAUAAGUUAACAACGCCCGAGACCUGUAAGCGAUAUGAGAUUUUAUCAAUGAACUCUACAACAACUAGAAGGCUAACUCAAUAUACACGUGCCAAGUCUUGUCUUAAGCCACUUACAACCUGAUUUGCUGCCGCUUCGCGGGUAUCUCGCGUGGACUGUUUUAUUUGCGUGACGAAUUGUUUUGCAAAAACUGCUAACUUGGAAAUAGGCAACCCAGUCUCUUCCUUGAAUUAACUCUAUACGCUAAUUGUGUAAAUACCCUCAAAUUGACUCUAUAAGUAAUUUGAAACGCCGUUCAAACAACAGGCCUGGUGACUUGCCUGCCUGGUCGCAACCACGCAACCCAUCAUUUACCGCAAUCUACUAUCCCGCGAAGUUUUGGAUAUCCUCAAUCGUUUAUUGUAAAGUGUAUGCUCUUCUGAUUGAAUUUUUUUUUAAAAUUCAAUUUAAACUUUAAUAUUAAGUUGCGUGGUUCGCAUUAUUGCUGAAAUGGAAGAAAACAAUGGUAGUGGUUUUGAUGUACUAGAAUUAGAUGAUACAGAAUAUGUUGAUGUAUCUUCCAAAAA